AGCUCCAAUAGCGUAUAUUUAAGUUGCUGCGGUUAAAAAGCUCGUAGUCGGAUUUCGGGUGGUACCUACCGGUCCGCCAUUGGUGAGUACUGGUAGGCACUACCUUUCUGCCGAGGACAGGCUCGUGGGCUUCACCGCCUGGGGUCUGGAGUCGGCGACGUCACUUUGAGUAAAUUAGGGUGUUUAAAGCAGGCGUUUGCUCUGAAUACACUAGCAUGGGAUGACACGAUAGGACUUUGGUCUAUCUUGUCGGUCUGUAGGCUGGAGUAAUGAUUAAGAGGGACAGUCGGGGGCAUUCGUAUUUCGUAGUCAGAGGUGAAAUUCUUGGAUUUACGGAAGACGAACUUCUGCGAAAGCAUUUGCCAAGGAUGUUUUCA
RNAcentral lists this ribosomal RNA (377 nucleotides) under uncultured eukaryote. RNAcentral's name for it is "SSU rRNA". It matches the Rfam family "Eukaryotic small subunit ribosomal RNA", at positions 587 to 972 of the family's 1831-position model. The record is from RNAcentral.